Molecule: ribosomal RNA, 494 nt
Filed under: uncultured bacterium
Lineage: Bacteria
Description: partial 16S ribosomal RNA
Rfam family: Bacterial small subunit ribosomal RNA
Source: RNAcentral
GACGAACGCUGGCGGCGUGCUUAACACAUGCAAGUCGAACGGUGAAGCGCUGCCCUUUUUGGUGGGUGUGGUUGAGUGGCGAACGGGUGAGUAACACGUGAGUAACCUGCCCUCUUCUUCUGCAUAACCGCACGAAAGCGUGUCUAAUAUGGGAUAUCCUGGGUCUGUCGCAUGAUGGGUCCGGUACGGAUAUUGUGUCGGUGGGCGAUGGUCUUGCGGCGUGUCAGGUUGUUGGGGCGGUGCUGGCCUUUCAAGGCGGUGGGGGGUAGACGGCCUGAGAGGGUGGACGGUCAGAAUGGGGGUGAGACACGGCCCGGACUGCUACGGGGGGCAGCAGUGGAGGGUAUUGCACAGUGGGGGAAAGGCUGAUGCAGCGGGGACGCGGGAGGGAUGGAGGCCUUGGGGUUGUGAACCUCUUUCGGCGGUGAAGCCGGCCUGCCUGGUUUGUAGGGGGAUUGACGGUAACGGGUAAAGAAGCACCGGCUAACUACGUG